CACCGCCCGUCACAUCACGAAAGCUGGCUGUACUAGAAGUUGCCGCGCUAACCCGCAAGGGAGGCAGGUACCUAAGGUAUGGUCAGUGAUUGGGGUG
This 97-nucleotide ribosomal RNA is filed under the name uncultured bacterium. RNAcentral's name for it is "partial 16S ribosomal RNA". It matches the Rfam family "Bacterial small subunit ribosomal RNA", at positions 1388 to 1482 of the family's 1533-position model. The record is from RNAcentral.